GACCCCGGUUCCCGCUCCCUCAGAGAACAGCCCUCCUGAGAACACGGUGCCGAGGGAACGCGGCCGGCGCACACGGCCACCUACUGGUCCCAGGGUGGCCCCUGCAGCAGGUGUCCAGCGGACGCCAAGCGGCAGGGACAGGAGGCCGAGGAGCGGUCGGUCCCCGGGGGCAGGACGGGGUGCAGGGGGCAGUGAGCGCGCGGCGGCCGGGCCGUCUGUGCGGGGCGGUGCCGCGUGUGCAGCCGAGAGGGCCGACAUGUCGGGGGUGCACGUGGGGGCGCGCGAGCUCCUGCACGCUCGUCGGUGGCGCCCCAUGCCGUCCGCGCGGCGCAGAGCCAGCGACUUCCCGCCAGCGGCUUUUCUGGCGGGCGAGGGCCGGGCCGGGCCAAUGGGGACGCGGUGACCUCAUCAGGCCUGCGUGUCACCGCGUGCGCAGCGGGGCGGGGAGGGGGUGUGUCCCUCGGAUACGGAGCGGGGCCUCCUCGCCCGCUGCUGAGGGCUCGGGUGCAGCCGGCCCAGCGCGCCGCACGGCGGUGCACCCCGGCGCUCCUCUCUGCGCCCCGACGCUGUUUCGGCAGCGCAGCCCGAGGCCCGUCUCUCUGCAGCCCGAGGUCGGACUCUCUGCAGCCCGAGGUCGGACUCUCUGCAGCCCGAGGUCGGACUUUCUGCAGAGAGACCGACCUCGGGCUGUAGAGAGACUGACCUCGGGCUGCAGAGACCGACCUCGGGCUGCAGAGAGUCCGACCUCGGGCUGCAGAGAGUCCGACCUCGGGCUGCAGAGAGACGGGCCUCGGGCUGCGCUGCCGAAACAGCGUCGGGGCGCAGAGAGGAGCGCCGGGGUGCACCGCCGUGCGGCGCGCUGGGCCGGCUGCACCCGAGCCCUCAGCAGCGGGCGAGGAGGCCCCGCUCCGUAUCCGAGGGACACACCCCCUCCCCGCCCCGCUGCGCACGCGGUGACACGCAGGCCUGAUGAGGUCACCGCGUCCCCAUUGGCCCGGCCCGGCCCUCGCCCGCCAGAAAAGCCGCUGGCGGGAAGUCGCUGGCUCUGCGCCGCGCGGACGGCAUGGGGCGCCACCGACGAGCGUGCAGGAGCUCGCGCGCCCCCACGUGCACCCCCGACAUGUCGGCCCUCUCGGCUGCACACGCGGCACCGCCCCGCACAGACGGCCCGGCCGCCGCGCGCUCACUGCCCCCUGCACCCCGUCCUGCCCCCGGGGACCGACCGCUCCUCGGCCUCCUGUCCCUGCCGCUUGGCGUCCGCUGGACACCUGCUGCAGGGGCCACCCUGGGACCAGUAGGUGGCCGUGUGCGCCGGCCGCGUUCCCUCGGCACCGUGUUCUCAGGAGGGCUGUUCUCUGAGGGAGCGGGAACCGGGGUCCCUCCCCCCGAGAGAGCAGGAAUCGGGCCCCUCCCCCUGAGGGAGCAGGAAUCGGGGCACCCCCCCCCCAGGGAGCAGGAAUAACGGCCUCUUCCCCCCCCCCCCAGGGAGCAGGAAUCGGGGCCCCUCCCCUCAAGGGAGCAGGAAUCGGGGUCCCUCCCCCCCGAGAGAGCAGGAAUCGGGCCCCUCCCCCUGAGGGAGCAGGAAUCGGGGUCCUCCUCCCGAGGGAGCAGGAAUCGGGGCACCCCCCCCCAGGGAGCAGGAAUAACGGCCUCUUCCCCCCCCCCCCGGGAGCAGGAAUCGGGGCCCCUCCCCUCGAGGGAGCAGGAAUCCGGGACCCCCAAGGGAGCGGGAAUUGGGGUCCCUCCGCCCGAGGGAGCAAAAGACGGACCUCGGGCUGCAGAAAGACGGACCUCGGGCUGCGGAGAGACCAACCUCGGGCUGUGGAGAGACCAACCUCGGGCUGCGCUUCCGAAAGACGGCGUCGGGGCGCAGAGAGGAGCGCCGGGGUGCACCGCCGUGCGGCGCGCUGGGCCGGCUGCUCCCGAGCUCUGAGCAGCGGGCGAGGAGGCCCCGCUCCGUAUAAAAGCGACACCCCCUCCCCUCCCCGCUGCGCACGCGGUGACACGCAGAUCUGAUGAGGUCACCGCGUCCUCAUUGGCCCGGCCCUCGCCCGCCAGAAAAGGCGGGAAGUCGCUGGCUCUGCGCCGCGCGGACGGCAUGGGGCGCCACCCACGAGCGUGCAGGAGCUCGCGCGCCCCCACGUGCACCCCCGACAUGUCGGCCCUCUCGGCUGCACACGCGGCAGCGCCCCGCACAGACGGCCCGGCCGCCGCGCGCUCACUGCCCCCUGCACCCCGUCCUGCCCCCGGGGACCGACCGCUCCUCGGCCUCCUGUCCCUGCCGCUUGGCGUCCGCUGGACACCUGCUGCAGGGGCCACCCUGGGACCAGUAGGUGGCCGUGUGCGCCGGCCGCGUUCCCUCGGCACCGUGUUCUCAGGAGGGCUGUUCUCCGAGGGAGCGGGAACCCGGGUCCCCCCCCCAAGGGAGCAGGAAUUGGGGUCCCUCCCCCGAGCGAUCAGGAAGCGGGGUCCCUCCACCAAGGGACAGGAGUCGGGGUCCCUCCCCCGAGGGAUCAGGAAUCGGGGUCCCUCCACCAAGGGAUCAGGAGUUGGGGUCCCUCCCCCAAGGGACAGGAGUCAG
Molecule: long non-coding RNA, 2581 nt
Filed under: Canis lupus familiaris (dog)
Lineage: Eukaryota; Metazoa; Chordata; Mammalia; Carnivora; Canidae
Description: lncRNA (ENSCAFG00040021555.1)
Source: RNAcentral